Molecule: ribosomal RNA, 503 nt
Filed under: Fusarium equiseti
Lineage: Eukaryota; Fungi; Ascomycota; Sordariomycetes; Hypocreales; Nectriaceae
Description: eukaryotic LSU rRNA
Rfam family: 5.8S ribosomal RNA (bases 135-288)
Source: RNAcentral
UCCCAAACCCCUGUGACAUACCUAUACGUUGCCUCGGCGGAUCAGCCCGCGCCCUGUAAAAAGGGACGGCCCGCCCGAGGACCCUAAACUCUGUUUUUAGUGGAACUUCUGAGUAAAACAAACAAAUAAAUCAAAACUUUCAACAACGGAUCUCUUGGUUCUGGCAUCGAUGAAGAACGCAGCAAAAUGCGAUAAGUAAUGUGAAUUGCAGAAUUCAGUGAAUCAUCGAAUCUUUGAACGCACAUUGCGCCCGCCAGUAUUCUGGCGGGCAUGCCUGUUCGAGCGUCAUUUCAACCCUCAAGCUCAGCUUGGUGUUGGGACUCGCGGUAACCCGCGUUCCCCAAAUCGAUUGGCGGUCACGUCGAGCUUCCAUAGCGUAGUAAUCAUACACCUCGUUACUGGUAAUCGUCGCGGCCACGCCGUAAAACCCCAACUUCUGAAUGUUGACCUCGGAUCAGGUAGGAAUACCCGCUGAACUUAAGCAUAUCAAUAAGCCGGAGGAA